Long non-coding RNA from Taeniopygia guttata (zebra finch), 3093 nucleotides. The record is from Ensembl. NCBI's taxonomy places the organism in Eukaryota, Metazoa, Chordata, Aves, Passeriformes, Estrildidae.
CGCUGAUCCGCAGUGCCACCCUCACUUUGACCCCCAUGGAAACACGACCAGGGCCUUCCUGUACCCUCUGCUGGGGCUCCCAAACUGAGGGAAACCCCCUCAAAAUCCCCUAAGAAAUCCCCCAAAAUUCCCAAAAAAUGCCCAAAACCCACAAAUUUCCAGAUUUUUCCCAAAAAAAUCCCAUUUUUUUCUGAAAUUUCCCUCAUAGGUGUCGCUGAUCCGCGGUGCCACCCUCACUUUGACCCCCCUGGAAACACGACCAGGGCCUUCCUGUACCCUCUGCUGGGGCUCCCAAACUGAGGGAAAUCCCCCCAAAUCCUCUAAAAAAUCAGCAAAAUUCUCAAAAAAUGCCCAAAACCCACAAAUUUCCAGAUUUUUCCCAAAAAAAUCCCAUUUUUUUCUGAAAUUUCUCCCUUAGGUGUCUCUGAUCAGGAGCGCCACCAUCACUCUGACCCCCCCGGGGGACGCGGCCGUGGCGCUGCAGUUCCGGGGUUUCCUGCACCCGCUGCUGGGCCCGGCCGGGCCCGGCCCCAACGUCUGGGCCCGGAUCCAGCGGCUGGCCGUGGUGGCCCGGCUGGCCCGGGAGCCCAACUCCACCGAGCUGGUAAAAAACGGGAAUUUUGGGAAUUUUUGGGAAUUUUUUGGGGGAUUUCGGGUGGUUUUUGGGGAUUUUUUGAGAAUUAUUUGGGAUUUUUGGCUGGAUUUUGGAUGGGAUCUGGGGGGAUCUGGGCCCGGAUCCAGCGGCUGGCCGUGGUGGCCCGGCUGGCCCGGGAGCCCAACUCCACCGAGCUGGAGGAGGUUGGCCGCUGGGGGGCGCAGCAGAACCAAUUCCAAACCCCCAAAAUUCCAUCCAAAAACCGGGAUUUUUGUGCUAAAAUCCCGGAUUCUUUUGAGGAAAAAAAGGGUGAAUUUUGGCCCAAAAUCCCGUAAUUUUUGGGGAAAAACUCGUAAUUUUCGCCUAAAAUCCUGGAAUUUUUGUGGAAAAAAAGGGUGAAUUUUGACCUAAAAUCCCGGAAUUUUUGGUGGAAAAAACUGGGAUUUUUUGCCUAGAUUGUGUGAUUUUGUUCCGGGUAAUUUUUGGGGGAUUUACCCGUUUUUUUUCCCUUUCCCGCAGGAAGAGGUCGGCCGCUGGGGGGCGCAGCAGGAGCGGGAGACGCUCCCGGCCCCAAUUCCAAACCCCCAAAAUUCCAUCCAAAAACCGGGAUUUUGGCCUAAAAUCCCGGAAUUUUUGUGGAAAAAAAAGAGGCGAAUUUUGCCCUAAGAUCUCGUAAUAUUUGAGGAAAAAAAGGGUGAAUUUUGUUCUAAAAUGCCGGAAUUUUGGUGGAAAAGAAGGCUGAAUUUUUGCCUAAAAUCACAGAAUUUUGAGCUAAAAGCUUGGCAUUUUGGUUUAAAAUUACAGAAUUUUUUUGGGAAAAACGGGUGAAUUUUGUUUUAAAAUCCCGGAAUUUUUGUGAAAAAAAAGGGUGAAUUUUGGCUUAAAAUGCUGGAAUUUUUGUGGAAAAAAAGGCUGAAUUUUGACCUAAAAUCCCGGAAUUUUGGCCUAAAAUCCCGGAAUUUUUGUGGAAAAAAAGGCUGAAUUUUGGCCUAAAAUCACGGAAUUUUGAGCUAAAAUCCCGGAAUUUUUUGGGGUAAAAAAGGGGAAUUUUCUCCCGGAAUUUGUGAUUGGGUUCCGGGUAAAUUUUGGGGGAUUUACCCGUUUUUUCCCCUUUUCCCGCAGGAAGAGGUCGGCCGCUGGGGGGCGCAGCAGGAGCGGGAGACGCUCCCGGCCCCAAUUCCAAACCCCCAAAAUUCCAUCCAAAACCCGGGAUUUUUGUGCUAAAAUCCCGGAAUUUUUUGGGGGAAAAUCUCGGAUUUUUUGCCUAGAUUGUGGGAAUUUGUUCCGGGUAAUUUUUGGGGGAUUUACCCGUUUUUUCCCCUUUUCCCGCAGGAGGAGGUCGGCCGCUGGGGGGCGCAGCAGGAGCGGGAGACGCUCCCGGCCCCAGUUCCAAAGCCCCAAAAUUCCAUCCAAAACCCGGGAUUUUUUGGGGGGAAAAUCUCGGAUUUUUUGCCUAGAUUGUAGGAAUUUUGUAGCCGGGUAAUUUUUGGGGGAUUUACCCGUUUUUUUCCCUUUCCCCGCAGGAAGAAGUGGGCCGCUGGGGGGCGCAGCAGGAGCGGGAGACGCGCGCGCUGCGGCGGCCGCGGCCCGAGCGCCUCUUCGGGCGGGCGGCGCGGGGCAGCCGCUUCCUGCUGCAGGUGGAGGCGCUGCUCAACGCCUCGGGCGGCCAGAGCAGCGAGCUCACCCUCACCUGGGACCGCACCGGCGUGCCCGGCGGCAGCGUGAGUGCUCGGAAAAAAUCGGGAAUUUUUGGGGAAUUUUUGGGAAUUUUUUCCGGGGUGUUCUAGGUCAAUAUGUUGAAUUUUGGGGCUUUUUUUCGGCCAUUUUUGGCCAUUUUUAAUGGGUUUUUUUGGUUGUUAAAGUGAAUUUUGUCAGAGAUUUUGGUCCCUGAAGGUCUCCAGAAGUAGCAAAAAAGUUCGAGAAUUUUUCAGAAUUUUUUGGGAUUUUCUUCAGGCAUUUUUGGGUCAUUCUAGUGAAUUUUAGGCCUUUUUUGAUCUAUUAUAGUGGAUUUUAGGAAGAUUUUGGGGGGAUUUUGGUCCCUGGAAGUCUCCAAGAGUCCCUAAAAGAAUUGAGAAAUUUUGGGAAUUUUUUGAGAUUUUUGGGGAUUUUUUUGUGAAUUUUUACCUAAUUUUUUGGAAUUUUUCGGAAUUUUUCCAGGCAUUUUUCAGAAAUUUCCUGUGAUUUUUUUGGUGGAUCAAAAAUAUUCGGGAAUUUUUUGGGAUUUUUUUCCCUGGGGCAUUCCGGGUCGAUAGAUUGAAUUUUUGGGUCAUUUUUGGCGAUUUUAAAUGGGUUUUUGGGUCGUUAUAGCAAAUUUUUGGGGGUAUUUUGGUCCUUUGAGAGUUUCAGAAGUAGCAAAGCAGGUGGAGGCGCUGCUCAACGCCUCGGGCGGCCAGAGCAGCGAGCUCACGCUCACCUGGGACCGCACCGGCGUGCCCGGCGGCAGCGUGAGUGCCCGGGGAAAUAUUGGGAAUUUUUGGGGAAUUUUUCCGGGGUGUUCU